This is a long non-coding RNA of Leptonychotes weddellii (Weddell seal), 1445 nucleotides long. RefSeq lists it as uncharacterized. NCBI's taxonomy places the organism in Eukaryota, Metazoa, Chordata, Mammalia, Carnivora, Phocidae. The record is from RefSeq and is a predicted model, not a curated record.
CCUUGCAAAUAUAGGUCCCAAGAGAGCAUCACAUCUUCCCUGUGAUGGAGGGCUGGAAGGAGUUCUGGAGAAAUGUGAAUUCCUGGCGUGACUAACGGCGGGAGCGGCCUCUUGGCUUUCCUGAACGUGAACCUUCUCCAAGAUGCGAGGGACAGCACCCCACACUUUACGGAACCAGACAGAGCCAAGUUGUCUCCGGAUGGUUCGGGGGCUGAAGAAGAGGCAGCAAUCAAGUAAAAUUGCACAUCAGACUUUCUGGGGCCCCUGCCCUCUCUUCCAGGAGACUGCCCACGACGAACCAUGUCUGCAGAGGAAAACGUGACGAGCCUCUUCUAGGCCACGUGGAAAGAGCACAUGGCCUUCUCUCCUGGGUUGCUGUGCACCAGGCCACUCUCACCAACAGGUCAGAUGGCGGCUACCCGGCAACAGAGGAACUGAGUUCCCACCUUGCUUUCCCUCUUCAUUUAUUCAGGACUAUCUUCAUGACUGGUCUCUCAUCAGAUCAGAUUUGGGCUGGGAAACAGGUGUAUGGAGUCCAGGGUGACUCAGGAGUCAGUGAGUGCUUGGGCCGCACGGGGCUGGCCGUGGCAGGGGAUGUGGUACUUACUGGUCCAGAGACCUAAGGCUUGAUGAUGCAGCUGAUGGUUUCUGCUUCCCAAGCUGUUGGGCUGAACGAGACAAAAUCUCCGUGUUUAUUUAAUACAAUUACAGCUGUUACAACUUGUGGGUUUGUAAAACCCCGAAUGUAAUCAUGCGACACCUCUGAACGUCCUACUCAAACUGAGAAACCCAGCGCUCCCAUGGAGCUUUGGCGACAACCCUCCCAAGCUGGCGAGAAGUGUCCAGAGCUUAGCAGGUGUUAGGUGAGAAUGAAGGGUGGGGAGCGGUGUAAAAGUUGGGGGAGAAGAGAAAAGAACACCCUAGAGCAGUAUCUGCUGUCUUUGGCAUUCUAGAAUUGGCCCUUGUCAGAUGUGGCCCCGGUGACCUGAGUGUCACUAACUGUGAACUUGGGUCAGUUUUGUCAUCUGUGGAAGACUAGAGGACCCCUAGCCCCUUUCAGUUCUAACCCUCUUACUGCUUCUUCCCCGCAGUGAUGCUGGGCCCCCAGCCCUCUCUGGGAGAUUGUGGGUGCUCCUGAGGAUGGGGGCCUGGAACCACCAUCCCCAAGCCAAAUGGCCCCUUCCUCUGACCUGAAAUGUCUGUGUGUGAGUAUGUGCAGACCCUCAGGAUCUCUGGGGCCGCCGGUCACAUAUGCAGAGUGCCCAGGGAGCCUGCAGCUUGGCCUGUGAGCUGGCAGUUAUAAAGUCCCAACCAAGGCCCCCAGAGACCGUAGGUAUCCUCUUCUGGAGAGGGAACUGUCCAAGAAGAUGGCUGAGCACCAUCUCAUGGUUCUUGAUCUCCCACCCAAGACGAAGUUCUCAGGCUCAGUGAGGUGGUGACUGGGA